GCAAGACGAAGACGCUUUGGUGGCGCGGUGCCGCAGCACGCACGGGCUUGACCCCCGACCUGCACUUGAAGAUCUGCGUCAGCCAGGCUCUCGGGGACAACGCCAUUGACCACCACGUCGAGGAGCAGGAGGCCAUCGGGAUCCAGACCCCGGGCCACCUGGGUCAUCAUCCCUUCUGGACCAGCCCCGGUUUGUUCCAAACCGUUUGAAAAAAGAACCAAAAAAUGGCCCUGGACGUGGAUUCUCAGAUCUUCUUCAUGUGAUGCCCCGCCCUCCACGCAGGACCAGGUGGGGCCAUGGACUGGGCAAGGGGAACACACCCGCUCCCCACUUGCUCUGAGUCAGGGACGGUGCCAGCUUUGCAAGGUUCACAGGAGCUGGCCAGGCCCCUGUGCAUGGGCACCACCUUCCCAGCCUCUCUGUGCGUCUGUUUCAUGGAACAAAGCCUGGUCCACGGGCUUGGGGCCAGAUGCUUCUCCAGGCCUCACACUCCUGCAGCUAGAAUAAGCAGCCAUGUCUGGGCAGCGUCUCGCUUCAUCUGCUGUCUGCUGACAGCCAGCUCAGAGUGACUUCCCCAGCAAAAUCCCCUGACCCCACACUGCUCAUGCGGGACCAUGGCCAAGGGCAGCUUCAGAGGAGCUACUUUCAGUGAAGACUCCAUGAAUACUGCCCCUCCUGGACCCCCACGAGGGGCCAGGGAUUCCUUGGGAAGGGAGAGACAGUGACGUCCACUGUCACAAGCUCUGCAAGUCUCUCAGAGCAUUCAUCGCUCAGACACCGUACAUGAGAGCUCUGUGUGCAGGUGACUCUUCUUAGUCCUCUAGGUUUUCUAGGCAAUUCAAUUCUCCAUGUUUCCCGCUUCCCGUCACCUCCAGCCUGCACCCCUCACUCAUGACUGGAGAUCCCUCCACUUCCAUCAGCCUGAGCUUUAACUUAAAUGGGGAAAAGCCUCAGGGAGCCAUCGGUGGCUUGGGAAACCACAAUCUGAGCGCCCGCACCCCCAGAACACUGACCGUUUCACACACUCUUGGUCUGACUGUAAAUGCAGUUCCUUUGUUUUUGGGAGGUUGUGAGGGGGACAGGAAGUUGCCUGCAUCUGAGUCCACUUUGGAUUGCACUCAGCUUUGAGAGAUGGUCAGACGUGCUCUGGUCAUCAGGCCUUGAGCAAGUCUCGGGGCACAGGCUCUGCGCCUCCUAGGUCCAGCAUGUUCUGGAGGAUGCUCGCUGGGCUGUGACAAUAACCCAGAGGCAGGUGAUGCUCUGCCUUCCACUCACCCACGUUUGCGGGAGUGAAGAAGAGAUCGGGAGCUGCAGAUGAGAAGGCUGGAGUGUGACCCGCGCAGCUUUGGAAGGGGACAGGAAAUGGAACCCAGGCACGGCAGGCAAGCCACCGCCAGCUCUCUCAGACAUGGAGUGACGUAGCAGCCUCUUGUCCCCCUACAAGGCCAGGAUUGGGACCUGCCAGGCUGAUGGGGAAGGAGGAAAAGCAGGUUUUCAGGAGGGAAAACAGGUUUAGAAGCUCCCAAACCCUGAACUCCCUUCACCCACCCAUGCCCCUUAAGGAAAUCGUCCCACAGAAAUCUUCAGGGCCACACACAAAGAUACGCAGCACGGUGUGGCUUUGGGGAAUGGAAACUAGGAAAAUAAACUACGUUGCUCAUUUGACAAAGCCAACACGAACGAAGAUAAAAAACGUUCCCAUGGAAUGAUACGAAGCCAAUCAAAAAGCUGUGGACCGAUGUGUAUCAUAAUUGGAUGUCUUCCAAGAUAGAGGAAGUAAAAAUGGCAGGUUAUAGAGGGUGUAAAUUUGACAUUUGUAAAAAGAAAAGUGUAUCUCCUCUAUCCAGAGAAAACAGUGUGGAAGAAUGUAUCUCCCCAAAUAAUUGCUUAAGCUACUUUGGGUCACUGAAUUAUGGGAGAGAAUUACCUUCUUCUUCACAGAUUUCUAUAGUAUCUGGCCUUUCUACAGUUAACAUAUAUAAAGGAAGAAUAUUUGUUUCUAUUAAAAAAAAAUAAGGAGGCUGGGUUAUGGAUUGAAUGCUACCACACCACCCAAAAUUCAUACGUUGAAGUCUUAACCCCCAGGACCUCAGAAUGUGACCCUAUUUGAAGAUAGGGUCUUUAUAGAGUAAGUCAAGUUAGAAUGAGGUCAUUAGGGCAGGCCUAAUCCAACAUGACUGUGUCCUUAUAAAUAGGGAAGUGUAGACACACACAGGGAAGAUGAAGGCAGAGGUGGGGGUGAUGUUUCGACAAGCCACAGAAUGCCGAGGACCACCACCAAGACCCUGGGAGAGAGACCCAGACCAGAUCCUCCCCACAGUGUUCAGAAGAAACCAGGGCUGCUGACAGUGUGAUCCUGGAUUUGCAGCCUCCAGAACUAUGAGACAAUCAGUGUGGCUUAAGCCUCCAGCUUGUGGUGUUUUGUUUUGUUUUGUUUUGUUUUGUUUUUUUACCAGUAGCCCUACAGAACAAAUACAAAGGCCAUGUACAUAGCUCUGUGGUUGGGACUGGGGCCUGCCAACAGGAGAGGGUAAGAAGUGGGACGGGCCGGGCGCGGUGGCUCACGCCUGUAAUCCCAGCACUUUGGGAGGCCGAGAUGGGCGGAUCACGAGGUCAGGAGAUAGACACCAUCCUGGCUAACGCGGUGAAACCCCAUCUGUACUAAAAAUACAAAAAACUAGCCGGGCAUGGUGGCGGGUGCCUGUAGUCCCAGCUACUUGGGAGGCUGAGGCAGGAGAAUGGUGUGAACCCGGGGAGCAGAGCUUGCAGUGAACCGAGAUUGCACCACUGCACUCCAGCCUGGGCAACAAGAGUGAGAGACUCCGUCUCAAAAAAAAAAAAAAAAAAAAAAAAGAAGUGGGACGAAGCCCUGAAAUACAUGGGGGUCUGCUUAGACCCAAGGCUAACUCUGAGACUGCAUCUCUGGCUGGGGGGUCAGAGAACCGCUGAACUUUCAGAGCUGCAUAGGUUGGUACCCUGCCCCGGCCUGUGGGAGAUAAUGAGAGCAACGGCCAGAAAGGGUCCCACAUUUGGUUGGCAGUGGGUUUCACGUGGAUUUCCAGGUGGCCAAGUGUCAAGUCCCAAUUCCAAUUAGCUGAGAGGCGCUGCCUGGGAGGGCUCAUUGGAGAAAGAUUCUGCCAACGCAUGUGGUGAUAGAUUAGUGAUGUCUGCCAGGGACAGCGAGGGAGAUGCAUCGCCACACAUAGGGAGUGUUCCCAUGUGGUGAUAGAUUAGUGAUGUCUGCCAGGUACAGGGAAGGGGACACAUCCCCACAUAUAUGGAGUGUUCCCUUCAGAGGCACAGGCCACAGAAAUAAUAUCUUAUGACUUGCCUUUAUGCAGGUCUGAAUCCAUUUACUGUGGUUUCUCAGGAUAG
Molecule: long non-coding RNA, 3375 nt
Filed under: Homo sapiens (human)
Lineage: Eukaryota; Metazoa; Chordata; Mammalia; Primates; Hominidae
Description: HSALNT0156112
Source: RNAcentral